AUAAUACUCCCUCCGUCCCAAAAUUCUUGUCUUAGGUUUGUUUCGAUAUGAAUGUAUCUAGUCGAUACAUCCAUUUCUAGACAAAUCUAAAACAAGAAUUUUAAGACGGAGGCAGUAUGAA
Molecule: non-coding RNA, 121 nt
Organism: Hordeum vulgare subsp. vulgare (domesticated barley)
Lineage: Eukaryota; Viridiplantae; Streptophyta; Magnoliopsida; Poales; Poaceae
Source: Rfam